CAGCAGAGUAGCUGUGUAGGCAGGAUGAGAGAGCAUGACCCACACUCCCUGGGAGCUGACAGGAGUAGCAGAGCCCCUGGCUAUUUAUUCAGUGCAUGCUCUAAGAGGGUGGGCUCCUCUGGGAUGGCGGAGGACAAACGUGAGUUUUGGCGGUCACAGUGGCUGAACUGUUAUUAGCUUGGAGGCCAACUGUGUGACUUCCCAUUGUGUACAGAAGUAACAGAGAGGAGCUGUGAGCCUCCAAAACCACAGAGGGGCGAUCACGGUGGGACAGAACCCAGUGUCCUCCUUGCCCCCACCUGCAUGUGGGGCUGCUGGUGAUGGAUUCCCAUUCCAAAACUGUGCGUACAGAAAACUGCUGCAUGUUGGGUGGUUUCUCUUCCUCCUUCUCCUCCUCCUCCUCCUCCUCCGUUUCCAUCUCCUGCUCCAUCCCCUCCUCCUCCUCCAAAUCCUCCCCAUCUUCUUCCGGUUCCUUUUUCUUUUUAAACAAAGCCUAUUAUGUUUGCUUCAUUAUAAAGCAAUACUUCUAAAAUUCAAACGAUAAAGAAGAAUGAAAUCAUACAAGGACACAUGUCCGCUAAAUACAAUGGUGAUCUUUAUUAAUAUUUCGGUGCGUGUUCUUUUAAUCUUACACUGUAUGUAAUAGCAUGUAUGCAGUAUGAAUACAUAUGCGUUCAUGAGUACGUGGAUACGUGAAGGCCAGAGGUCAGUGUUGGGUGUCUCCUUUAAUCACUGCAUUUUUUUGAGGCAGCCUAGGCUGGCUGGCCAGUGAGCCCCAGAGAUCUGCCUGUCUCUUCCUCACUAAUGUCGGGAUUAUGGACACACACAUUGCUGCAUAGACCUGUGGUAGCACUUUACAAUCACAAACAACAACUAUUAUAUAUGGAAUAUAUAAUUUAAAAAAUUUAAAUCGCAUUUGUUUAUUCAUUGUGUGAGUGUGUGCAUGUGUGUCUGUGUGUGUCUAUGAGGACAACUUGGAGAAGUUGUUUCUCUCCUUCUGUUGUGGGUUCCCAGGGAUCGCACCCAGAUCCUCCAGCUUGGUGGCGAACAUCUCUACCCAGUGAGCCAUCUUGCCCACCCAUAUUAGCCUUUUUAUCUGACGUCAUGAUAUCAAUGUUUUCUUUAGUAUUAUAACUUUUUAUGAUGACUCUUAGUGCUGCAGAUAGCCCAUGGAGCUGUGUCUGCACACUUUGGAGCCCUCUUCUCCUCUUGCCUCUGCCCUGGCAACCACUUAGGGCUUGAGCCCAGCAGCGCCUAGUGGCUCGGCAAUGUGUGAGACUAAGAGGGACAAUGUCUGCCCUCAGAAGACCUGAGAGCCAGGUCACACUUAUCUCUCAUGACACCAGCCCUUGGCCUCUUCUUUGAAAUGGGAUCAACAACAUGUCUCAAAGGGUGGCUGGCAGGAAGGCGAGCUAGCUCAGUCCAAAUCUUGGUUUAUUGGUGUCACCAGAACCUUCAGGAGCCAGAAGCAGGAAAUCCAGCCCAACCAACGAAACUUAAACCAUAAAGACGAUUUAUUAGCUCACAGAAUGACAAAGUCCAGAUCCAGUGACCUGAGAGGGGCAUAGAGCCUGAAGGAUGCGGCCACAGGCCUCGGUGAUUGUUGUCAUGCAUGCCUACCGUUCUGGUCACGCCUUCCUCGGGAACAUUCUUUGCAGAACUUCCAAGACCUUCACAGGAGGGCAGCAUACCCCGCUGCUGGCAGGCCCAAGAGAAAGCAUGUUGCCCCGACUGAGCCAGCAGAGGCCCAAAUGGCGAGGCCUGGCCCACAUCCUCCUGGUCAGUGGAUGCCCACUCACCUAUACCUCCUGGCUUGUGAGGGAUUGAGGGGGGCUGGUCCCAAGAAGGGUCAGGCCUUUCCUCAAAAGAGAGGUGGACUUGGAGGGCAAAUAGCAGCCAUGUGCUUCAUAGAGAACCAAUCUCACUGUGGCCAGAGGGAAGUUCUCAGAGCAGGAAGCCCAGCAGUCCCUGUGGGUUUGAUGUUCACAAUCCUCUGUGAUGUGGUCAGAAUCUUCUCUGGUCACUCGCUUUUCCUGCCAGCCGUGCACUAACACAGUAAGUAUUUUUCUUUCAAAUGCCCAUGCAAAGAACCACACCCUUGGGCAUUCAGUCCUCAUGACCAUGAACUGGGAGGAGCCUAACCUUUGGUGACCUCAUCAGGUGACUCACCUCCUCUUCACAGACAUGGUCCAAGGGGUAUUACAGUCUCAGAUGAAGUGCCCCAUGGGAAGAGAAGAGUGGGUGGGAGAGCAUGUGGUGGGUGGGGACAGGACCUGGGUCAGGAAGAGGUUGGGACUGCAGAGCCCAUGACAGCUCUAGGUGGGGCUGGAAACCCCUGUCCGGUCUCAACACCCAGGGCCCUGUCUGUGUUCUGCAGGGAACAAAGACGUGCAGCAAGUAUGUUUCCCAUCAGCCCUGGCGUUGAGAGGAGAAGAGCCCAUUGGAUCCACGCAGCUGUGUGCCCUGCCAAUGGCAUCCUGCUUUCUGCACUUGUGUUUGCAAUCGGUCCCUGGCCUGAAAGCUCACAAGCCACCUGGUAGGAAGUCAAUCCAAGCAAGGCAGUGAGGAUGUGCUAAUGGCAAGGCAGGGCUCUGCUUUCUUUCAGAGGAGACAGCCUGACAGCAGAUUUCCCGGUCCUCUGGCUCUUAGAAUCAGCCUCUCCACUACAUCUUCCGAAAUGUUCCCUGAGCCUUCAGUGCAAGAGUCGUGUUGCAGAGGUCUCAACUGGGGUUUAACACCCCACGAUCGCUUGUGUCCUAUACUUUGACCAGUUGUGGGUUUUUUGGUAAUGGUGUCCAUCUGUUGCAAAGAAUUUCAAUUCUACGUCCCUCGGGGGAGCCAGCAUCCGUGUGAAGCUUAAGUUUUAGCAUCCUUUGCAGGGAGUUACUCCAUGGUCCAGCCAGGAAGAUUUAAGGCAAAGUGAAUGAGAAGUUUGCUUCUCUGCGGUGAGACUGGCCCCUUCCUGUUUUUCCUGCUUCCACUUCUUUCCUGAAAUAAAUAAAGGCUGGAGGAGAAGCAGCCAUCUUGUGACCAUGAGCUAGCCCUAGUCACGGGAGCCACAUACUAAUGUCAUGACUCCCUGACUACCAACCAGCAAACCUCUUACGAAAGACUGUCCCGUUUAAAGUGAGUCCACGUCCCCAGAUCCCGGUGCUUAGACAAAAGCCAGCUGCUCAUUCCACUUACAAACCUGGUGUUUGAGCCGUGCUCCCUCUUUUCUGUCCUUCCUUCUCCCUCCCUUUGUCUUGCUCUCCUGGUCCCCACCCGGCCUCUCCCUCUCUCUAGGUUCCGCUAUCUCCCUGCUCUGCUCCUGCUUCUCUCCUGCACGGGUCCGGUGUGUUGACCAUGUUCAAUCUACUACUUUUUCCCUCUGCUCCGGACUCUUCCAGAUGCCUCUGGCUGUUCUCUCCCUCACACCUGCAAUAAAAACCCUCCCCCUCAACCGUACCACGGAGUGGUCAUGCCAUCAGUUCACACACAGACAAGUGAGUCUCACCGGAAGUCACCAUGGUUGAACUCCACUGCAUUUAGCCGAACUCUACUGAUAGCAUUUCUGAAUAAACAUUUUCUUUGGAGGUGACACACUGGCCCUGAUGCCGGGCAGAGGGCAAAGUUAAAGGAGCAGGACAACAGACACGGGAGAGGCGGACUCUCCCUGAGAGUCUACUAGAAGAGCAUAGGGAGGUCACAUGUCCAGGAAGAAAUUCUGAUCACCGAUGCCCCGGUGUGAAAGAAGCUUGCUGCACUAGAUGACUUUAACAGUGCUCGAGGCCUGA
Long non-coding RNA from Meriones unguiculatus (Mongolian gerbil), 3776 nucleotides. RefSeq lists it as uncharacterized. NCBI's taxonomy places the organism in Eukaryota, Metazoa, Chordata, Mammalia, Rodentia, Muridae. The transcript has 3 exons. The record is from RefSeq and is a predicted model, not a curated record.